CGCUACAGAUCUCAAAGCAAGCAAUAGAUCGAACGGGUCCUCUCGUCUGUAGGUGAUCGCUUUGACCCCAAGUCAUCUUCUCCUUCCGACGAGAUCGAGGCCUCUGACAAUGAUGAGAUCCUUAAGUUUGAGUGUCGAUGAUGAGACCCCCUACUAGGUUAGUGGGAAUUAGGGGUCCCAUCCAAAGGCUGCCUUGGGGUUAUUACUCGUUUUCCCCGUUGAC
This 223-nucleotide long non-coding RNA is filed under the name Elaeis guineensis (African oil palm). Its description in RNAcentral is "long non-coding RNA (EGUI_LNC037170)". The record is from RNAcentral. Lineage: Eukaryota; Viridiplantae; Streptophyta; Magnoliopsida; Arecales; Arecaceae.